AGGGCAGAUGUGCGGGCGAGGAGCUGUCGGAUAUUGAGAAUAAUUGAGACUGGAAUCUCAAAAACAAUUUUCUACAGUCAGAUGAGUCAUCAGGAUCUGAAUACCAUUGGCAUUUAACUGUGGAAGGAGAAAGGGUGCUAGAUGGUGAAGAUUUGCAGACUGAAAUCUCAGAAUCAUGCGCAGAUUGUGAUUAAGUUACUCAUUGUUUGAAGAGCCAAAGAUAGAGAAUCACUUGGCUAAAAUCCUGCAACACUCUCCCACACAGCAUUGUCGGUCUCUCUGCGCCAAAUGGACUGUGAAUGGUACAAGACAGCAGCUCACUACCAUCUUCUCAAGGGUAACUAGAGAUGGGGAAUAAAUGCUGGCUGAGCCAGUGAUGCCCAUAUCCUGGAAAUGGUUUCUAUCUCUAGUUGCUGAACCCCAGUUGAUGUUACUGCAGGAUGAUGAAGGAUGCUGAGUGUAUCCGCCAGGAGGCAGCACCAUCACAUUACCCCUGCCUACACCCACACAGUAACACAGCAACGUCACUGGUACAAAAGGCAGUGACAAAACUUAGAUAUAGUUCUUCGAGGUAAAGUCAUGAAAGGGGAUUGGAGCACAGCAGGAACAGGAGACUGAGCUGGAUGGUCAGCUGUUUCCCAUUGAAUGGUGGGGCAGGAUAGAAAGUCUGAAUGCCCCCCUCCUGCUGCUAUCUCCCAGGUAUGUAUAUAGUCAUGGAGCCCGGGUAGGAAGGAGUGGGCAGGGAUUCUCCAGGAGAUUGCAAUUCCACAUCAGGUUUCAGUGAGGGAUGGUU
This is a long non-coding RNA of Hemiscyllium ocellatum (epaulette shark), 793 nucleotides long. RefSeq lists it as uncharacterized. The record is from RefSeq and is a predicted model, not a curated record. Lineage: Eukaryota; Metazoa; Chordata; Chondrichthyes; Orectolobiformes; Hemiscylliidae. The transcript has 3 exons.